Small nuclear RNA from Callithrix jacchus (white-tufted-ear marmoset), 107 nucleotides. The record is from Ensembl. NCBI's taxonomy places the organism in Eukaryota, Metazoa, Chordata, Mammalia, Primates, Cebidae.
GUGCUCGCUUCGGCAGCACAUAUAGUAAAAUUGGAACGAUACAAAGAAGAUUAGCAUGGCCCCUGCGCAAGGAUGACACGCAAAAAGGUGGGGGGGGAAUGACCUUA